UGCGUAGGGGGCAAGCGUUGUCCGGAAUCAUUGGGCGUAAAGAGCGUGUAGGCGGUUCGGUAAGUCCGCUGUAAAAGUCCAGGGCUCAACCCUGGAAAGCCGGUGGAAACUGUCGAACUAGAGUCCGGAAGAGGCGAGUGGAAUUCCUGGUGUAGCGGUGAAAUGCGCAGAUAUCAGGAGGAACACCAAUGGCGAAGGCAGCUCGCUGGGACGGUACUGACGCUGAGACGCGAAAGCGUGGGGAGCAAACAGG
Molecule: ribosomal RNA, 253 nt
Filed under: uncultured bacterium
Lineage: Bacteria
Description: partial 16S ribosomal RNA
Rfam family: Bacterial small subunit ribosomal RNA
Source: RNAcentral